GAGAUAAUUGCCUCAUAGCUAUAGGAACUUUUAGAGCUUAGCAAAAAUAUAGUCACUAGACAGGUUACUGAGACAUUUAGGAUCCUUUCAGAGGGCCUAGAGUUAUUUUGUAGAUCUGUAGAGCUCAGUGAAGACAAAGUGGGUUGGGAAGACAUAUGUAGAUUUAUUGCUUGAGGUGAGUAUGGAACAUUGGCUCCCUGGUAACAGUGGCUGAAUGCUGAGCAUGGGGAGGGAACACAGCUAUGGAUGUGCAUGCAAAAUU
This 262-nucleotide long non-coding RNA is filed under the name Cyanistes caeruleus (blue tit). RNAcentral's name for it is "lncRNA (ENSCCEG00000006054.1)". Lineage: Eukaryota; Metazoa; Chordata; Aves; Passeriformes; Paridae. The record is from RNAcentral.